CCUACGGGGGACAGCAGUGAGGAAUAUUGGUCAAUGGCCGGGAGGCUGAACCAGCCAAGUCGCGUGAGGGAAGACGGCCCUACGGGUUGUAAACCUCUUUUGUCAGGGAGCAAGGUGCAGGUCGGGACCUGCUGUGAGAGUACCUGAAGAAAAAGCAUCGGCUAACUCCGUGCCAGCAGCCGCGGUAAUACGGAGGAUGCGAGCGUUAUCCGGAUUUAUUGGGUUUAAAGGGUGCGCAGGCGGAGGCACAAGGCAGCGGUAAAAUCGCGGGGCUCAACCCCGCUCCGCCGUUGAAACUGUGUGCCUUGAGUGCGCGAAGGGUAGGCGGAAUGCGUGGUGUAGCGGUGAAAUGCAUAGAUAUCACGCAGAACUCCGAUCGCGAAGGCAGCCUACCGGCGCGCAACUGACGCUCAUGCACGAAAGCGUGGGUAUCGAACAGGAUUAGAUACCCUGGUAGUC
This 459-nucleotide ribosomal RNA is filed under the name uncultured bacterium. Its description in RNAcentral is "partial 16S ribosomal RNA". It matches the Rfam family "Bacterial small subunit ribosomal RNA", at positions 338 to 795 of the family's 1533-position model. The record is from RNAcentral.